GGGCAGGGGUUGUGGUGGUGCUCGGUAGAUCUUGGAUUGCUUUUAAAUGCCAAAGGUGUUCUCCUACUUAAAAAGACUGGAGAUCACUGUU
Molecule: long non-coding RNA, 91 nt
Organism: Gavialis gangeticus (Gharial)
Lineage: Eukaryota; Metazoa; Chordata; Crocodylia; Gavialidae
Exons: 3
Source: RefSeq, a predicted model, not a curated record